Molecule: non-coding RNA, 24 nt
Filed under: Cricetulus griseus (Chinese hamster)
Lineage: Eukaryota; Metazoa; Chordata; Mammalia; Rodentia; Cricetidae
Source: RNAcentral
AGCUUUGGAACAAGGGGCUUCCAC